This is a long non-coding RNA of Amphiprion ocellaris (clown anemonefish), 1325 nucleotides long. Lineage: Eukaryota; Metazoa; Chordata; Actinopteri; Pomacentridae. The record is from Ensembl.
UCAGGGCACAAAAUGUGAUCUUUAUUCGAGAACAGCAUCAAACAGGGUCAUUGUUACACGUCAGGGAACCAUCUGCACAAAGUUUGAGGUUUAUUAAUAAAAUGAUCGGAACGUCAUGUCUUUAAUGGCAAUGCGAUUGUUUUAUGAAAGAAAACUGCCUCCGAGUCAGUUCUGUGGCUUCUCCUGUCAAUCAAGUAACCUGGAGUUGCUUUUUCUUUCAAUUUAAAGAAGUCCUUUGUAACCUCAGAAACAAAUAUUGUCAAAGGCCAAGCUCCAAGUCAGGAUUUUUCUGAUUUAGUGUCACAAAUGAUAGAUUUUUAAUUAAAUCCCAAAUAUUUUAAAGGGGUUUAGUGUUACAGCAGGUUCGAAAAAGGUUCAGGAGCAGGAAAUGAGACCUCAGUCAGAUAGACAUUUUAGCAAUGCUUUAUUUACAACAAGAUGAUAAAUACAAGAACCUGAAAUAGAACUCCAACUCAGGAACUAAACUAAACCAAGAAAACCAGAAACCAUCUAGUGGUACGGAGGAUAACUACACAAGGAUGAGAACUUAAACUAUGUUAACCCACGUAUAGUAUAACCAAGGCAGGAGAACAACUGAAAAUACAAAAACCCUAACCAGCCUAGACUCUAACUAAUCCUGAACAGAAAUCCCCAGACUAAAAAUUAUUUUAUGCAGAAUAUAAAAUAAAUAAUAUUAAGUACAGAACGCAGAUUGUAAACUUCAACGUACCAAAUGUUAUACCAGGGCUUGGAAACUUGACAAGUAGGAAUUCAGUCCUUGGCCUGGCUUCUCUCAGCUCUCUCCCUUUUCAGGAACUCAACACGUGGAAGGUUGUAGGCGUCCAAGAGUUCAUAGAAGGUAGGCAUUUCUCCCAGAGUGUUCCGUCCAGAUGAAGCCUGUGUUUCCCAGGACGAAGCUGGCGAGAGGUGGAAUCCUCCGUCAGAACAGAAUCCAAGGCAGAGGGGAGGACCAGCAGGCUAGAAGAUCCCAGAACCAGCAGGUAGGAGUCAACUUCACUAAACACAGAAAACAGGAUUAAUAAAAGUCCAAAAGGCUGGUGGCAAAGACAGUUCUACUCACCGUACUGACUGGAGAAUAGACAACGGUCCAGCUUUGAAUGACAGGUGCGGUCUGCUUUUAUGGAGACACCCAAGGACUAGUUACUCAGCUCCCACCUGCAGCUCAUCUGCUAAUUAUCAUGCAACACACCUGCUGCCAGCUUCACCACCAACACACCUAGGAGAGAGAGAGAGAGAGAGAGAGAGAGAGAGAGAGAGAGAGAGAGAGAGAGAGAGAGAGAGAGAGAGAGAGAGAGAGAGAGAGA